AGUUCAGGGGUCAGGCAGUAUAGGGGCUAAGUGGUUGUGACCUUUACAGCUCAGGCAAAUACAGAUGCCUCAGUUAGCUGUAUGAUACAUGGAGUUCUGUGACUGAGUGUUCUCUGACGGGCUGUCUGUAUGGUUGCCAUGCCAACUGGAUGACGUUGGUGUGCGGUAGAUGGGGACGUUGUGUAUAUUUGCUGAGAUAUUUUUCAUUUUUUUUAAUGCCAUUGUUUUUUUAAUGCCACCAAUGAACUGCAGUCUGCCUGUUUUGAAAGACUUAAACAUUCUGUCAUGUUUUCUAACAUGUUUUAUGGUCCUUUAUUUCUGCAGUCUUUUGACUGGCUUACUUCAAAUAUACCAAAAAUAUUUGUUAAAACUAGUGCUGUUUAUUGUCAGUGUAGCUUAGCCUAGUCCUAAUAUUUAUGAGUACAAAAUCUCUCUCUCUCUACACACACAACAGGAGAUGAAAUGCAAUAUGUUGAUGAUCACUUUCCAAAGACAAACGUAUUUUUAAAUUUGACUAUGGCUCUCCCAGCUCAGCUUUAAAGUAGCAGGGCAAAUAACCAAAAAGAAAGGGAUGGGAAGAUGGGAGGUCAGGUGUCUCCCUGAAUAAUGUUCAUAUAUUUGAGGGGUGUUUAGGUUUGAAUGGUAGCGGUUAUAUGAUAUCAAUGGGUGCUUAUCCUCUAGGCUCGGUCUCGUUUCUCUACAUGUUUCCACCUAUGAUGAUAUGGCAGACUGUCCGGACCCUUUCUAGACUGGCAUAUCCGAUGGGCAACAGUUUGGACUGUAGUCAGGCUUUCAAUAGUCUGGUAAGGGCUGUCCAUUUUGAGUUUUUCUACUAAUCCUCAGCCAUGAAAUAAAAAGCUUGAACCAAAGUCGUUUUCUCACUAGCUGCUGUGCCUGUGUGAGCCAGCAAGUGCUGUUCACACGAUCACUAUUUUACAUAAUACUACUACUGACAAGUUUUCUCCUCUUAAACCCACCUGUGUGCAUCCCCCACCUCUAACCCGCUUCUAAGGAACAAGGAUAUUUUGGCUUUAAUGACCAGCUGCUUUAACUUAGAAUGGAGGCAAAUGUUCUUCGUGUUUUCUUCUUCUGGCUUUGUGACCACAUCCUGUUAGCAGGUCUCGAUUUCUUGUGGUUGAAGCCUUCUCUCCUUACCCUCAAUGCCCAGCUAGCUUUACUAUGGGGAGCUCAUCCACUGGCAGCACCAGUAAAGACGUUUCGGACCAAGAUCCUGACCUGUAACCAAGCAGCGUAGCCUCUGUGCUGCCCUUAUCGAACUGCCCCUUUUCAGCACACAGCAAUAGUGUUGUUCUGUCGGCCCUAACAUAACCAGAUUAAUGACUGCCUAGUUUGAAAGCAGAGAAUUGGCUCCACGCUGUUCAGUUUUUGUGCUCCUUUUUCACCCGUGAAUUACUUUGACUAAAUACCUCAGCAGCACUUAGACAUUAGGUUCUCUAAGAAAUCUGACACCCGCUGAAUAUUAUAGAAUGUACAAGAACUGUAUGGCUGAAUUGUACAAGAUGGCAAAAAAGAGUUAUCGUUAUCUCAAACUAGGACAAACUACUACUGCUGUUUUCUAGUACUACUACUUAUGGGUAUUUCCAGGUUUUAACAGUUUAACAUUAUUUUGUGAUCCUUCUUGCCAAAGCAAAGCGAAAGCCUUUCUCUCUGCGGCUGGGUUGAUGUCUCCAUGCUGCUCACUUGGCUGGUGUUCUGUCCGAAUGGGACUUGUCGUUCUAUUUGUAGUCCUGUUUGUAGUCAUUCACCAGUCGUGAAGUGCGGUAGCUAGGUGAACCAGUGUCCAUUGGCACCAUUGGAAGUUAAUGAAAUAUUUAUCUGCGGAACGACUAAAGAAUAAGAGAAAAAAAGCUUUUUUUCUCUCUUCAUUCUAUACAUAUAUAUAUAUAUAUACACAACACAUGUAAGAUAUUCAUAUUUUAUAUUUGAACUAGUAUGUUAUCAAGACUGAAUGUGGUGUUUUGUCAUGCUUAUAUUCAAAAGACAAAAAAAUGUUUUUUUUUAUUAAUCAUAGCAAUUUUGAAAAACUUUCAAGACCAAAAACUUAGACCGCACCCCCUUGGUGCAUGAAUCACAGACACCUGUAGCCAUCACGUGUGGGUGUGGUCUGUUGAGUGGGAGGGGCUUGCUCUGGUGCUCCUAUUGGACAGUCCCCGUUUGUGCUGUUACUAGGGGAAACAGACUGAAGCGCCUAAUCUUUCAUUGUCUUUUUUGUCUGUGUGUUUGGUUUACUAUGGACUUGAUUUGCUGUGCUGUUUUUAACAAUUGUUUUAGAUUUUUUUUUAAAUUACAUAUGCCUUUAAUUGUUUUGUAUAGCACGAGAGGGCAAGAUCACUGGCUUCCUUAGUUUGACAAAAUAUGAAAAUGAUAAUUUACGCCUUAUCGUUAUUUAGAAGACAAAAGCAUUGUAGCAUAUGUUUGUGUGAGAGUAAUCUAGUGAGAAGAGGCUGCCUCCUCGCUAUCUUUUGUGUUUAGCUAGCCUACUCAGUGCAUAGUUCUUGGGCUUGUGCUGUUCUGGCACAGUUAUGUUGCUACCUAUGACUUUAGGGGUGACUUAGACAGGUGGCAAUACCUGUAGGAAAGGCUUUACUAUUAACUGAACUCCAGCAGAGGUGUGUGUGUGUGUGUGUGUGUGUGUGUGUGUGUGUGUGUGUGUGUGUGUGUGUGUGUGUGUGUGUGUGUGUGUGUGUGUGUGUGUGUGUGUGUGUGUGUGUGUGUGUGAGAAAGGAAGAGCUGACUGCAGACCACAACGGUGCAUUUGUUUUCAGCUUACAGAUAAAGUAUAAUGAUAAGAGCAUUCAAGGAAGAUGGGAAUGAGAAUAUGGAACAGUAGCUGAGUGUGUCAGUGAUCCAUUGCCUCUUUGUUGGUAUGCGAUGGUGCACCAGUGAAUCCUAUGGUUUGCUAUAUUUAAUUAUAACCUGUUGUGAUGGCUCAGUCAGUGGAUCCUUCAAACAUACAGGAUCUUUGUGCGUUAGAGUGGAUCCUCUUUGAUACAGUUUUAUUGUGUUUGGUGCCGUUGUGGAUCUGGAUGUCUCUCAGGUUUGUCUGAUGCUCUAGAAGUGGUUCUGUGUGGUGGGUGUAAAGGUUUAGUAAAGGGAGAGGGCAGCGAGACACCAGGAAGUCUGGGGUAACUAGCUUGGUUAAGGGAGCUGCUGUAUACCUCAUUUUUAGCUCAAGACUGAGUGAAACUUGCUUUAAAUCUACUUUAGUAAAGAAAAAUAUUAAACUUAAGAAAAAAACAAAAACAUAAACAACACCAAAAACACAUGGUCCUAUCAGAGAAGCUCACAAAUGUCUGUUUUAAGAGUACAGAGUGUCAUGACAGCUGCUGCCACCGGGGGGAGACAGGACAUACUCCAGCACUUAAGAAUGUCUGCUUCUCUUUAUUUUUUACAAGAACAACAUCAUCAUCGCUCACGCUAAACACACAGUGACCUCUCACACCUCCACCUCCUAUUAUAAUGCUGAAAGUAUACUCACAUUUCACUUUUUAGUAGUAUGUACUUGAUUUAUCCCAAUCUUAUUAUGUUUUCUAUGAUUUGACAAUCCUGUCCUUUUUUAUAUUCUUAUUUAGAUUGUAAAUGUAGAUGUUGGUGUGUCUACUCACCUGGUGGUGCACUGCCUCGCUGCACUCUCUUUCCUGUGGUAAUGUUAACCAAAGACUUCCAAAGUGAUUGUAUAUGGACUAGACCAUCUCUCACCCCUCCGCCUCAUCAUCCCACGAGAAAAGACAUGCAGCUGUGCUCACACACGCUCUUCCCUGAGCACCUGUAAUGUCGAUACGCCUGUAUGGCAGAGCUGUGUGUGCGUGCGCGCUGCGGACACAACAGGCACCUGUAGCAGGGCCUGUGGGGGAGGAUAGGUAGAGUUUCGAGGGGCAAAGUGAGGUUCUCUGAUAGACAGAUCAAUUAUCCAAUCCCGUGAUGGCUGGGUGAUGUUUGUUAAUACACAUUGAGGGUGCAUCCUGUGCACGCUGUAAAGGCUCAGGAGUCACUUUUUCUGUCCCUCUGUCUGUCUCUGUCUGUCUCUGGGACUGUUGCUAGGACACACCUUUUCCGUCUCAAAGACGGUCACAAAAAUACACGGUUUCUGCUUCUUUGGAUACAGUGCAUCUGUCUGGCUCCCUAUCUGUGUAUUGUAGUUGCCAGGAUACAUUGUCUCUAGGAUACAAAUUCUCUGGUUCUUUCUCUCUGUCUCACCACUGUUUUCUUUCUUUCUCUGUGUCUCUCUCUUGCUUCUUUCUCCUGCUGUGACACUAUGCAUCAUGGUCCUUCACUACACAUGGCCUGAUUGGCUAAGCUCUUUGGUCAAUGGAGUCCCAGGGAAACGUUAUAUGAUGCUUUAUUCCAAGUGGGGGAGUUGUAGGAUCUCACAAGCGCUAUCCCAAAGCAAAAAAUAUCCAAAUAAUGUUUGACAAACGCAGAUACCAAAGAUAACUCUCUCUGUCCUGUCACUCUCUCUUUCUCUCUCUCUCCCUCUUCCUCUUUCUCUCACCCUGCAGCUUGUGUAUUAAGAGAUAAACCCAGCACUGGCUUUAGCCCUAGCCCCAGUAAUUCCAAAGCUUAGAUGUAUAUUUUGGUAUAUUUCUGAGAAAUCUAAAUGGGGAAAAAAAGUAUGUUGUUUUAAAACAACAAUCUUGUCUGUUUGGUGUAUCGAUCUUUUUCUGUCACAGCAUGGAACUAAUUGCAGAAUUGUCUUACUCUUGGUAGAUUAAAGAUAUAGUAUUUUUGUAUGUUUUGGGGUGUGUAAAAAAAUUCUGUGUGUGUGAAUAUAUCAGUUAACACGGCCCAAGUGUCAAUGGUUUAAAAAAGAAAACUAGCAGAAAAAUACAAUAAAAACAAAAGGUCAACUUGUAAAUAUUACUUCUGUUUGUGGAUUUUUGAGAAAUGCAUUCUGUAAAAUCAUUGAUAAUUCUCCCUCUGUAAACCAAGCUUGGGCUAAACUAAAGGAAUGUGCCCCUUUUAUCUUCUGACUAGUUUUUCCUCUGAGUACACCAUCUGUCACUCUAGAACUCUGGGAGCCAUGCUGCCGUUGUGACUCGCGGUUCCACUGUUACAUCAUGGACUAGAACACUGCUCACUGUUGCCACGGGGACACAUGCCUCAUAUCCAACUAAGAACCCCCCCAGACAUGGCGGUUGGCAGCAUAUAGAACUAUAAAGAUUGUGUAGAACAUUAAGUAUGUGAAUCAGGAUACAUGGUAGAUUUGAUGCAUUUGUCUGCUGUAUUUUUGUUUUAGUUUUUUAUAUGUAUAUAAAGAUGAAUCUUUUACUGUAACUGUACAGUUCUCUUUUGUUGUAAAUGUCAUUAAACCAUUUUCCAGGUGUUUUAACAUUGGAA
This is a long non-coding RNA of Oncorhynchus tshawytscha (Chinook salmon), 5358 nucleotides long. The record is from Ensembl. Lineage: Eukaryota; Metazoa; Chordata; Actinopteri; Salmoniformes; Salmonidae.